RNAcentral lists this transfer RNA (71 nucleotides) under Camelus bactrianus (Bactrian camel). It matches the Rfam family "tRNA". From Rfam's summary of the family: Transfer RNA (tRNA) molecules are approximately 80 nucleotides in length. Their secondary structure includes four short double-helical elements and three loops (D, anti-codon, and T loops). The record is from Rfam by way of RNAcentral. RNAcentral also lists the same sequence under 2 other names. Lineage: Eukaryota; Metazoa; Chordata; Mammalia; Artiodactyla; Camelidae.
AGAGGAUAGCUCAGUGGUAGAGCAUGUGCUUAGUAUCCACGAGGUCCUGGGUUCAAGCCUCAGUACCUCCA